This 7026-nucleotide long non-coding RNA is filed under the name Malus domestica (apple). RNAcentral describes it as "long non-coding RNA (MDOM_LNC000705)". Lineage: Eukaryota; Viridiplantae; Streptophyta; Magnoliopsida; Rosales; Rosaceae. The record is from RNAcentral.
GGUCCCAAGGAAGCUCGGAGUGCUUCGUUGGAAGUUUUUGGACGUAAGAACACGGAGAUCGACAAGUUCAAAGUUUGGCCGGAGCUUUCGAGGCGUUUUUCCGGAGAAUCCCCGGCGAGUUAGGAGUCGAGGUAGGUAUCAAUCUCUUCGUCUCGUCAAGUACUACAACUUUCCUUUUUGUUUCACUCAAUUUCGUUGAGUAUUGAAGAAGUUAUACUCAUUUGAAAAAUACCCAGUUUCCGGCGACCUCCGAGGUUUUCGAGGCAGUUUCCGGCCAAACCACGGAGAACUAGGUGUUGUGCAAGGUACCAUUAUCUUUUUCUCUUCAAGGGCUACAACUUUCGUUUUUGAAUCACUUGAUUUCGUUGAGAAAUGACAAAGUUAUGGCAAUUUUGAAAAAACUGCCCGGAAAACGGCCGCCGGAAAAACCAGUCCGGCGACCCAAGGAAGAAGAAGGUGCUACAGUAAAAAUAAAAAAUAAAAAUAAAAUUAUUUUAAAAAUAUGUCGACGUCCGUGACGUCGAGUAGAUCACUGUGGUAUAUUCAUAUACCUAAAUUGAACACCGUAUGAGAAAGUUAUUGAAGAUUGUUGGUUAGGUGUUCAAAUAACGUUUUAUAGUUUUCACAUUUAGGUGAAAAUGUGAAUUGAUGAUCCGACCGUUGGAUCAUCACCAAACUUUGAUACGUUAUAGUACGUAAUAUUUGAGGAUUAUUGGAACUUACGGAUUGGGAAUCCGAGUUACGGAUCUUCUGGAAUUGGAAUUUUAAGUCCAUAAUAUAAAAUGUUAACCGUCACUUAGUUUUGGAAAUUGACGGAAAUCCAACCGUUGGAUGGUAAUGAAAUUUUAGGAUGUUGUCCUAGAGGUAUAAUGUGGACCUCUGGAAGUUAUGGAUUUAAAAUCUGAGUGGCAGAUCUUCCGGAUCGAACUACGUAGUGACGUAUUUUAUAUAAGUUAAAUAUUCUAUCGAUAUGAAUUCUGAGGUUGGAUUUGAUUACUAUUCUAGGCGGCGAUCGUCGUGACGCCUUGAUGUGUGGUGCUAGGGAGUUGUUGGAUGAACUCCAGGUGAGUGGGCAGUUUUGUCUUCCGUAUAUAUAUAUAUACUUAACGUUUUCCCAGAAAUUGAAAAUGCAUGAAAUUAUGUUUAAAAUGAAAUGCAUAUGAGUUAUGUGGAAAAACGGGAAGUGAAAUACCAUGCAUAGAAUUGAUAUGAAAAGUAUAUAGAAAUGUGAGUUGAAAUGCCAUGCAUGAAUUAAUAUAUGAUGCAUAUGUAUGAAUUGGUGCGGUGGACGCACAGGUAAGAAUUGAUUUAUGAUGCAUAUGUAUGAAAUGGUGCGGUGGACGCACAGAUGAGUAUUUAAUUACUGUUAUGAUGAUGAUGAUAUAUAUUGAGCUCAAAUCCUGCACCAUGGUUUAGUGCUUAUAGUAUUCACCGCAUCGCACGCUCGCCUUGGAUCCAAGUAGAUGCUAGUCGUACAGUCCACGUGGAGUGGGUACGACAGACCAGUCGCGAGAGUGUUAGUGAGAUUCCGACUGGUGGGUGACCUUAGAUUAUGUGCACAGAUGAUUUAUGAGAAGCACUAGAGCGUAACUUGUGUGCAGAAGGCCGGACGGGUCACAGAGGUGACUCCGGUAGAGUGAUAAUGAUAGAUUUUGAGCUCUAGGUUCAACCGUAUAGGGCUAUUAGAGGGCCUACGGUUGAUUACUUUCUUGCACCUGAUAUGAUUAUGUUGAUGCAUUCAUACCUUAUUACUGUUGAGAUGAUGUGGCAUGGCAUAAUUAAUAUGAGAAAUGUUGAGAUGACAUGGCAUGGCAUGAUUGAUAAAGAGAUAAUGUUGAGAUAGUAAAAAUGAAGUUUUGAGAAUAUAUAUGUAUAUUUAUAUUUUACAUUUCUGGGAAAGUAUACAGGUUUUACGGAGAGGGGUUACAACGUUUUGAGAAAUGUUUGGAUUUGGAAAAGAAUUGUUUUACUGACCCACUCAAUUUUGGUUUUGCGCCCCUCCAGGUUCAGGAAUCACAAAGGUGUGGUGACUACGAGGAAUUCGACGGUGUUCUGACAGAUUGGACAAAAUUAGGACUCACCUUCGGGUGUAUCAAUUUAAAUUGUAUCUUAAAGCUUCCGUACUGUGCAAAUGGUUACGUCACUCUCACGUGACGGCCAGCAUGCCCUCCUUCGGGACGAGGUGUGUCAGUUGGUAUCAGAGCAUGGUUGCAAUCUUGGACAUCUUGAGAAGUUUCUAGUGAAUUCUGUCAGAACUACACCGCCUCGUAGCAAACCACGUAGUUAGAGGAACUUAGUCUCCCUGAUUUAGCGGGUUAGGGGAAACUAUUCUUAUGGUGAUUCAGUAUAUUAGAAAAAUGGACAUUUUAAGACGGGUUAUGAGUUGAAUUUGAAUCACUUAAGAGAAAUGAUGAACCUGAGGGAGCGGAGUGACGGUUUAACCAAUUGGAAAAGAUGUUUCAGAUUAUGCAAGUCAAAGGAAAUUUCCUUCUGACAGGUGGGUCGAGACGACUACCUGGUUUUGGUUAUGAAUUUGUAUCCUGGUGGAAACAGGAGUAUGAAUUGUUGUCACCAGAGGAAUCAGUCGAUUGAGAAUUGUUUAAGGACUUGUUUAAAGGAAAAGUUUAUCCCUCCGGCAUUUAUCGAUGGUAGUAAACAAGAGUUUACAAAUAUGAGACAAGGAAGGUGAUGAUCGAGGGAUAUUAUAGAAAGUUUUCAGACUUGCCUCGUUCCAUCCAGAUAUUGUUGUUAAUUUGGUGGAGGUGUUAUGUUGUUUUAAGCUGGGUGGCAAAAAGGGAAGUGGUAUUUUGGGUGACCACUAUCCAUUGUAGUUCUUAUCAGGAGUAUGCUAGAUGUUGUUGAAUCUUGAGGACUCUGAGAACAUGAGCAACGAGAAUAAAGAAGAAUAAGAAAUGAAUGGGAAUUAAAAGAAGACGAUAAAGUUAAUGAUUCGUCAUAUCAAGGAUAUAGAAAGAUUUAGAGCUUCGAAAGAAGUGAAGCUAGAGUUAAUUCUUCUAGCUGAGGUUUUAAUGUCGCUGGUCAGAAUAAAAGUGAUGGAUAUACUGGUAAUCCCAGAUAUUUGAGACAAGGUGUCUCGAGUAAAGGAAAUGUACCUUGUGCUGCAGGUACAAAAAAUUAACACUUUGGGAAGUGUGAAAUUAAUGAAUGUGUUUAUGUGAACAGAGGGGACACAGAAUUGUGAAUCGUCCCUAGAAUCAGUUGUACUCAAUAAUUUUCCAUGAUAUCAUAGUGUCGAUUCAGAAGAGUUAUAAACUUAGUAGUUUGGUCGGAUUGACUGUGAGUACAGAGAGAGAUUUUGAUGAGUUAUAUGUUCAGCUGUACAGACCAUGAGAAGUGGAUUCGACUGACACAUGCGAAAUUUGUGAGUUAUAGGCUCGGCCGUACCGACCACGCGGAGUGGAUCCGGCCGACGUAUUAUUGAGAUAAGAGUUGAAUCAGUCGUAUUGAUCAUUCUAGUUGACUUCGGCUGAUAUAUUUCUUAUUAUGUAUGUUAUUACCUUGAGAGUAGUAAAUAAAUGUAGUUGAGAUGAGUGUAUGUAUUUUGCAUUGAGUGACAAAAUAGUAAUGUUAUAUCUUUGAGAGUGGUUGCCUACUUAUCGAGACAACGAUGAUUUAUCAGUAUUGCGGGCUGCAGACCGUAAUAUUAAUAACUCAUUCGUGGAUUCGUUAAGUAAGUAAACCGGUAGAUUAUUUUGUACUUAUUCAGAAUGCUUAGUAGUAAUAGAGUAUGUAUUGUGUCGGUUAAAUUAUUUCCAUUAGAUUGGUUGGUUAUAAUUGUGACAAGACGGAAUGUUAAGGGAAACCAGUACUUUCCAUCGAUCUGGAUGACCAGAGAUUACUUUUGUAAGUAUGCAAAGUGAAGUGAGUUCAGCCAUUAUUUAUGCUGUGAAAGCAAAGAGAUUGUUUUGAAAGGCUGUCAAAAAAAUACUUAGCUCAUGUGGUGCUAAAUGAUGUUGUUUGGAGUAGUGUGAAUAAUGUCGAAAGGGUUAGACUUUUCUUGAUGUCUUCUCUGAAAGUAUACCUGGAUUGUCUUCAGGCAGAGAUAUGAGGUUCAUUAUUGAUUUGUUGCCAGGUAUAAAUUUAUGUUAAAGAUUGGUUCAUGAUGAGUUAAGGGAAUUGGAAAUUCAGUUGAGAGAAUUGGUUGAUAAAAGUUUUAUUCAACCUAGUACAACACUUUUGAGGAGCCCCAGUUUGUUGGUGAGGAAGAAAAUGGAUCUUGAGACUGUUCAUUGAUUAUAGACAAUGGAGUCGGGUAACGAUUGAGAACCGUUAUCCAUGGUGAUGUACUGAUGUUUAUUUAACCAGCUCAGAAGUAAUUGCGAAGAUUCAAAGAUUGAAUUGAGAUCUGGUUACUACCAAUUGAAUAUUAUAAGUGACGUUGAUCAUAAGAUGGUUUCUGGACUUGUUAUGGUCCUUAUAAAGUUUGGUGAUGCUAUGUGGAUACUCAUGCGGUUUUAUGAGUUAUUGGAUGAAGUAUUCCAAUAAUGCCUUGAUAAAUAGAUAUCAUUUUCAUUGAAGAUAUUCUGGUAUACUCUAAGCCUAGAGCAGAGCAUGUAAACGUAUUAAGUCGGUGAAGCAAAGAUUAAGAGAACGUUGGUUGUAUGCUAAGUUUAGCAAAUGCGAAUGUUGGAUGAAUCAAGUGGCAUUCUGAGAUUGGUUAUAUCUGCUUAAGGUAUUCAAAUGAAUUCUUAAAAGGCAGCAGAAUUGAGAAAUUGGAACAACCACGAGUCGUAAUUGAGAUUUGGAAUUUCUUAGCUUACCAGGCUAUCUUGGAUGGUUGUGAAAGAUUUUUCAGUCAUUGCUUUGUCAUUGACGAGACUGUUGAGAAAAGAGGUUAGGUAUGAGUGGGAAGGAAUUGUAAGCAAAGGAUUCAACAACUGAAGUAUUUCCUCCCUCAUGCACGUAUUUUGGUAUUCCCAGAGAAUAGUGGUAAUCAUAAAUUUUUGGUGAUGUUACAUUAAAUGUUCUUGGAUAUGUACUAAUGCAAAUGUUAGGGUGAUUGCAUACGUUUCACGACAAAUGGAAUCUCAUGAGAUGAAUUACCCUACUAGUGAUUUGGAAGUCACGAUUACCAUCCUUGCUGUGAAGUUAUGGAGACAUUAUAUUUUAGUGAGAAUGCAAGAUUUUACAAAUCAAAAGAGUCUUCAAUAUCCAUUACUUGGAAGGAUUUUGAUAUGAGGCAGCGAAAGUGAAUUGUAUUGCUUAAUGAACAUGAUUGUACGAUCAGGGUGAUCGUAAAGUUUGUUCUAGCUGAAGCACUUGAUAAGAAGACUGCAGUAAGAAUUAAUAUCUAGUACGUUUGCCAAGAGUAUCAUUUUGUGGAUUGAAAACCAACGGAAGAAAAAUUAAGAAUGGAAGAUCGAGAAGAAGUUAUACUUGUUAAGUAACAAGUUAGUACAUUUACCCCAGUGUUGAGUAACAACCUUUCCCAGACAGUGCAACACUACUUAUUUGUUUUAUGGAAAAGAGAAUUGGAUUACGGAACUGCUAAGUUUCUUAAGUAUGUUGGUUGUGCAGUUUCCGAAGUAACGCCAUAAGGACCAUGAAAUGUGUCACGUGAGUCGGUUUUUGAUGACUUGUGAAUGGAAUGUUUCUGGGUAGAGAAAGAUUCGAUCGAGAAAGAGUUUUAGUAGACCCUGAGACUAUGGAUGAGUCUCCUCAAAGUAUUCAGGUGAUUAAGUUAACCUGAAGUAACCAGGAAUGGCAAAAGAGAUCAACAGAUGGAUAUGCCACUAAUCGAGUGUGUAAGGUAAAUGGUUUGAUAUUUUUGGAAAAUUCACCACGAACAGAAAUGAAGAGAAUUGGAAAAGAGACAAGAUAAGAUUUAAACACAUCAGACCGUUUUGAUCAUUAAAAGAAUCAAUGAAGUUGCAUAUAAGUUUGUGAUGCCUUUCAAAAUUGGCUAAGGUGCAUAAUGCAUUAUAUUUCGAUGCGUUGUUGUCACUAGGUGGCAGAUUCGUCACAUGGGAUUCUGGUGCUGCAACUAUUUAGAAUUCAAUUGGAUUCGACUUGAUAAGGAACCAAGGACUACUUUGGAUUGGGAAAAGAAGGUCCUGAGAAUUAAGACAGAGUAAGUGGUAAAAGCUUUGUGAAGGAAAUCAUUCAGUAGAAAAUUAUGUGGGAGAAAGAGAAACGGAUGAGAGAGAUUUACCCGAAGCUAUUGUUGGAGUAUGGUUGAUUUAGUUGAUUGCUGGAAUUUCGGGGACGAAAUUCUAUAAGGAGGGAAGAUUGUCACAGCCCGUCCUGGAAUUUUAAUUCCGAGGACGUGAGAUGACCAAUGUGACCUUAAACGGGAUUAAGGUGUGUAAAUGUAUGACAUUUGUUUUACUUUAAGAUCCUAACUAGGGUUAGAUUUAUAUUUGUAUGUGUUAAUUUGUGCUUGGACUUAGGUAGGGCCUCCUACCCUGAAUUCCCUCCCUAAAACCCGUAACCUUUCUUCUCUCUUCUUCUUUCAUUCCAGACUCUCUCAUUCUCUCUCUUACUCUCGAACUCACGGCAACCACCAAGAACCACCACAAUCUUGUACCAACGUUCCAUUUAAGACCACCAUCGUGAUCCUGGGGACUUCACGAGCACGGGGAUACCAAUUUUCAGGUGAGUUUCACUUCGAAAACCCUAGUUUCUAAAAGUUGCCGUGAGAUGACACUGUUCAUGAGCUUUGAAUUGGUUACGUUUUAGGCUAAAACAAGAUCACAGCGAGUUUAGUAAGGUCCCAAGGAAGCUCGGAGUGCUUCGUUGGAAGUUUUUGGACGUAAGAACACGGAGAUCGACAAGUUCAAAGUUUGGCCGGAGCUUUCGAGGCGUUUUCCGGAGAAUCCCCGGCGAGUUAGGAGUCGAGGUAGGUAUCAAUCUCUUCGUCUCGUCAAGUACUACAACUUUCCUUUUUGUUUCACUCAAUUUCGUUGAGUAUUGAAGAAGUUAUACUCAUUUGAAAAAUACCCAGUUUCCGGCGACCUCCGAGGUUUUCGAGGCAGUUUCCGGCCAAACCACGGAGAACUAGGUGUU